Molecule: ribosomal RNA, 1522 nt
Filed under: uncultured Glomeromycotina
Lineage: Eukaryota; Fungi; Glomeromycota
Description: eukaryotic LSU rRNA
Rfam family: Eukaryotic large subunit ribosomal RNA (bases 684-1522)
Source: RNAcentral
UCGCUCUUCAACGAGGAAUCCCUAGUAAGCGUGAGUCAUCAGCUCACGUUGAUUACGUCCCUGCCCUUUGUACACACCGCCCGUCGCUACUACCGAUUGAAUGGCUUAGUGAGACCUUUGGAUUGGGGUUUGGAAGCGGCAACGUAACCAUUCUUCGAGAAGUCGGUCAAACUUGGUCAUUUAGAGGAAGUAAAAGUCGUAACAAGGUUUCCGUAGGUGAACCUGCGGAAGGAUCAUUAAAAAUUUUUUUCUCUCCAUUUGAUGGAGGGUUAAUUUGUAUUCAAAUUCCACUCUUAAAAUUUAUAAAUUUAUAUAAUAAAAUAAUAAUGACAACUUUCAACAACGGAUCUCUUGGUUCUCGCAUCGAUGAAGAACGCAGCGAAAUGCGAUACGUAGUGUGAAUUGCAGGUUUACGUGAAUCAUCGAAUCUUUGAACGCAAAUUGCACUUUCCAGUAUUCUGGAAAGUAUGCCUGGUUGAGGGUUAUUUAAAUAACAUUCGUGAAUUUUUUUUCGCGGAUUUGAGUUUUCCGGUGUUACAAACGCUGGUGACUUUAAAAUGAUUUAUUUCUUGGUACAAGUCAAGACGUUCUAUUCAAGCGUGGUUCGUUGAAAACUUUACCUCAAUACGUAUUAUGCUUUGCGCACGCGUGAUUUCGUGUGUUUAGUAUAUACUUUUUUUUAAUGACCUCAGCUCAAGCAAGGAUACCCGCUGAACUUAAGCAUAUCAAUAAGCGGAGGAAAAGAAACUAACAAGGAUUCCCUCAGUAACGGCGAGUGAAGUGGGAAAAGCUCAAAUUUUAAAUCUACCUGGCUUCCAGGUCGAGUUGUAAUUUGAAGAAGCGCUUUCCGCGUUUUGGUCUGGUUCAAGUUCUUUGGAACAAGACAUCAUGGAGGGUGAGAAUCCCGUGCAUGAUCAGAUCAAAAUGUUUUAGAUGCGCUUUCUAAGAGUCGAGUUGUUUGGGAAUGCAGCUCAAAAUGGGUGGUAGACUUCACCUAAGGCUAAAUAUUAGCGAGAGACCGAUAGCGAACAAGUACCGUGAGGGAAAGAUGAAAAGAACUUUGAAAAGAGAGUUAAAUAGUACGUGAAAUUGUUGAAAGGGAAACGAUUGAAGUCAGUCGUGCUAGUGAGAAGUCAACUUGGGGGGUUUUGGGUUCUUAAGUUGCGGUAGGGUUAAACCACCUUUCUCUUGAACUCUGAGCUUUUCGGGUGUACUUUCUCUUUGGCAGGUCAGCGUCGAUCUUGGGGGUUGUAAAAUAACUGGGGAAAUGUAGCUCCCUUCGGGGAGUGUUAUAGACCCUGGGGGAUGCAGCCCGCGGGAUCGAGGAUUGCAGCAAAUGCUUUUUGGCUUGUCGCCUAUCCGCUGGACGUUACCCCGCUUGUGACAACAUUCUUGACACUUUGUGGGACUUGACGGUCACAGGUUAGAGCGUUCUGAAAUUUGCUAAGGAUGCUGACGUAAUGGCUUUAAACGACCCGUCUUGAAACACGGACCAAGGAGUCUAACAUAUGUGCGAGUGUUU